ACGUCAGCAAUUUCGAUUCAGCAAAAACCGACGCAUAAGGAAUCCAGAAGUUUUGUAAAAAGUAUUACAGUAACCUGUGGAAGUUUCUUUGAAAAAUUAAUUGUGAUAUCUAACUACCUAACUGAUAGAUUUCAAGUUGUGAAGAUAAACUAUUUUAAAUAUUCUAGAUUCUUAUAGUUUGUUGGUGAUCUAAAAUGUCAUGUCGCUAUUUACAAUCAGGAUAAUUGUCUUAAACUUCAAUCUGACCUUACUCUAUACUUCACAAAACACAAUACAACUGUGUUCAGCUAUUGCAUAAAUAAAUCUGCCUUGACUUAGGUCUCAAACAUCAGUGAUCUUGGAGUGAUAGACUCCACAUUUUAUUUGUUACUCUCAUCGAGGCAUAGUUUCCAGAGCGCUAAGUAUGGUCGGCUUCAUAAAACGAUCAACAUCAGACUUCACAAGUACACUGUUGCAGAUAGAUAGAUAGAUAGAUAGAUAGAUAUUUAUUUCGCUUUUCGAUACUACAUAUAACACAUAUAUGGGUAUAUUAAGCACGUCACAUCACAUUAAAAUACAGUGUUUAAACAAUACAUUUAAAAAAUACUGAGUAGAGACACCUAAACACAGAUAAACUUUCAGUUUCUUUGAAGCAUUUAUAGAAAUUUUAAGCUCUGUUAUAUACUUUCAAACCAAAAUACCUUGGGUUUUGUUGCCCGAUAUGCAGUCUAGAGAAUGGAACGUCCAAGUAAUCUUUUUGCCGUGUGUCAUGUUCGUGUAAGUCACAUCUCCUAUUCCAUCUUAUCAUGUUACUUUUGACGUAAAUCAAAACGGAAUAAAUAUAUAAUGAUGGAAGUGUCAUGAUCUAAAGUUCCUUAGAUAAAUCUCUACAUGAAUGUUUACUAGUUACACGCAUCAUGUAACGAAUAGCACGUUUUUGUGCUAAGAAGACCCAGAGUGCACCAGAGGCUAGACCCCGAUAGAUUAUAUCGUAGCCUAUCACUGAUUGGAACAGCCCAUAGUACACCUGCUUUAAAACGUCAAUGGAUACCGUAUCUCGAAUAUUUUGGAUUAAGUAUGAGCAGGAGCUUAAUUUGGGCAAUAUGUUGUCGAUGUGAUGAUUCCAUGUAAGUUUGUUGUCAAUGUGCAGACCGAGAAACUUAGUAGCCUCCACGUUUUCUAUUGAACGUCCCUCUAAUUGGAGAAGAAUACCGGAAUCAACGCGAGUAUUUUUUGUGCCUAUUUCCAUAGCUAUUGACUUAGAUUUAUUUAAUUGUAGUCCGUUAUCGCGACACAAUUCAUUCACCCUCGUGACCCUUGGUUCUGCGGCCCCUUUUAAAUUAGCUCUGCUUUUAUCUGCAUACAGUACAAAUAAUGCAUCUAUAUUAUCCUGAGGAAGAUCGUUAAUAAAACAAUUAAAGAGGAGCGGUGAUAGGCAGGAUCCUUGCGGGGUACCUCUGCCUACAUAUUGAGGGCUCGAUUUUGAACCGCCGAUCACAACCUGCUGUACUCUCUCGGAGAGUUUUUUUAAGAGCAGGCUAUGAUCGACAGUGUCGAAUGCGCGGCUCAAAUCAAAAAAUAAACCUAAUGUGGCUGUUUUGUUAUUAAGGCUAUUGUAGAUAUGCUCCAGAGCACAGUCCAGAGCUGUACUUGUGGCGCGGUUGGCUAGUAUACCUGGACUCCAAAAUUUUUGCCACUUGACAUUGAAGAGCUACGGGGCGGUAGUUCUCUAUGUUGGUUUUAUUGACUUUAUUUUUAAAAAUAGGUACGAUUUUUGACUUUUUUAAGGCCUGUGGAUACUUGCCCCGGAGGAAGCUCAAAUUGACUAAAUAUGAUAGAAUAGGAGCUAUAAUAUCUUUAACAGAGAUUAACAAAGUGCCCGGUAUUUCAUCGAUUCCAGAUGAUUUCUUACGGCAUACUUUUAUAAUUACUUGUGUUAUCUCUACUGUUGUAAUAGGGUAGAGAAACAUCGAGCUUCAGUGCUUGCUUGCUAUUGUUAGCAAGAUCAGCAAAAUAUUUGUUAAAAAUUUCACAGAUUUUGUAUCCAUCUUGUAGUGUUUCACCACCAACGGUUAUGUUGGUUAUAGAAGAGGAUUUACUUUUAUGGUUGCUAUUUUCGCUGACUAUUGCCCAACUUUCUCUGCUUAUGUUAUCAGAUUUCAUUAACCUUAAAUUGUGGUGAGUUUUCUUUGCGUGUUUAAGUUUUUUGUUGUAAUGGGAUUUAAGUCCUUUGUAUUUUUUAUUAUAUAGAUCAUUUUUUAUUCUUUUGUUUAUUUGAUGCAUCUCGUGUACUGCACGACUCAGCUCUCUUAAUUCUCUAUUAAACCAAUAGGUUUUUUUCCUGUUCGAGACUUUUCCUUUUUUUGUAAAUGGAAAACUUGACAUAAAUAUUUGUUUCAGUUUUUCGUAAAAAGUGUGAUUUUUUUAUCUAAGUCGUCAGAUUGAAUAUCGUAGAGCAAAUUAUUCCAAUCUGUGUUGGAUACCAAAUCUAUAAAAGAAUUUACAUUAUUUUUGCUAAACUUUCUGAAAAAGCGUUCUGCACAAUUAUUAUGAAAGAACUUCUCAAAAAUGAAGAGCUGAAACGUGUUGUCAGAGAUACAUGUGUCUACUGCCACGCCUUUUAGUUCGGUAAAGUCGACGAAAAUAUUGUCAAUGCAUGUUCUAUAAUGAUAAGUUAUUCUAGUGGGCUCUUCUAUAGAAGCAACUAAAUUAUACUCAAGAAGUAUAUUUUUUAAUAUUUUAGUUUGUUUGUUGUUUUCAAGCAAGUUGACGUUAAUGUCGCCGCACAAACUGUGCUUAUUUUUUGGUUCGUAUAUAGCUUCUAACAUUAUUGAGAGUUUCUCUACAAAUGCUUCGAAGUCUCCCUUUGGAGAUCGGUAUACAGAGAAAAUUGUGAUACAUUCCUUGUUAAGCUCUAAUUUUAUUGAACACAUUUCAAAAGUUUUUUCUUCAGAGUUAUUAAAUGGAAUUUUUGAAAAAUUUACACUUUCUCGACCCAAGAUACAGACUCCCCCUCCUCUGCAACUAGUUCUCGAGAAAUAACUAAGAACCUUAUAAUCUAAAAGCUUAAGAAGAUUAAUGUCUGAGGAUUCAUGAUGUUCUGAUACACAGCACAUUGACGUCGUGGUUAUUUAGUAUUGAUUCGAGGGCUUCUUUUUUGUUUGUGAUACCCCCUUGAAUAUUAAGGUUCAUAACUACGAAUUUGUUAGGUGUCUCACCGUCUGCAGUUGUCUUUAAUUGACCGAUGCCGUCCUGAAGUUUCAUAAACAUCGUAGAAAUUACACUAGUGCUAACAUUACAGCUAUCGCAGAACCAUUUGAGAUUUGGUGUUUCUAGCAAUAAUUUCACUUUAUCUCGCGAUAAAUUGAUACAUUGUUUAUGAAAAAGUGCGUUCUACACACCACUACAAUUAAUUUUUAUAUCGUUUGCCAAAAUUUCCUGCAAACAGGAUCCGCACCUUAGCGGUACGUCUGAACUCGCUGCCGCCAUCACAACACAAUGCAUAGUUAGACUUUUAUUAGAAUAUAGCUCAACAGUCUGGAACCCUUAUUAUGCAAAUUAUAUUCAUAUAUUUUUGUGGCGGAUAUGACUUUAAAGUGCUUCAUGAGAGAUUUGAACGACCAAAAUUGAGGGGUCCAUAUUGCUUUCUUUAUUGAUUGUUUUGGUUUCAUCUAGAAAUACCGCAUUCCUAUGUUUUAUCGCCUUGAGGUGUACGAAGGUUGGACUUAAUUGUUCCAUCACACGUGUGGCAGGAAUAGUUACCUCAUAUUCUAAUCACUUUGAUUUUUUUGACGCCAGCUCUAAGAGUUCUGCAAGUCUCUUGAAACGUUAUGUGAUAUAGGUAUAAAGUCUAUAGUAAUUUAUUUACAUUUGUAUUGAUACUUCUGUUUCCUUUUUGUAUUUAGAUUAUAAUGGAAUAAUUGAAUGGUUUAUUUGAGUUGAUUAGUUCUAUUGAUAUAUCUCGUACUAAAAGACCCGUUAAUAAAUAAAUACAAAUAUUUUGACCAUCUAUGUUCACAAAUCUAUUUUUGUCAUUUUGCCAAACUAAAAGUGAAUGAUGAUAAUGGCAAAACAGAGUCAAUUAUAGUGUGUUGCUCAGUAAAUUGCUAGCAUUUAGUCUUCAGGGAACUUUUCUCCAUACUGGAUGACUAGCUAUUGAAAUUAGGUGGCUCUUACUUAAUGAAAAUCCAUUUUUGUGUUAUGUAUGUAUGUAUUUGGUAAAGGAACGGUACUGCCGAAACAACAUAAAUUGAAUGGGAAAACCAAUUUGCCGAGUUUAUGUUUCUUGAACUUUUGGUUGCUUAAUAUAGGACAACAAAUGUGCGAUGUUUUGACACUAUUAAAGUCUACAUUUCCGGUUUGGGCGGAAACGGCUUUUGAUUUUUAAAUAGCACCUCCCCACCCCCAUGAAUUUUUGCAUGCAGAUGAUUUUACGCAGGAUACGACCAUUUCCCAGUUUUGUUUUCUUAAAAUUAUCUUUUUAUUUUGAAAAUUAUAUCUAGACGACCACGACAAAUACUAAUUACUGGACUAGCCAUUUUUUAGAAUAACUAGUUUUUUUCAAAUAUCAUCUCAGUUGGAACAUACAGUUUUUAAAACCGACUUUUUUUGCAAAAAAAAAGUUGAAAAACAGUUAUAGAGCAAGCUCACAGGAAGAAAAAAGCAGAUCAGUAAAUACAUAAAAAUAAAUAUUAUAUAGAAAGCGUUGCUUCAGUGCAUAAUAUUCUAAUUAAUAUAUCAAAUAUCUAGGGUUAGUUUAUUAUAUCCACGGUAUCAUUCACGGCGGAAAAUACAGUGUUGUUGUAUAUGGAAUAUUUUAACAGGAAAAACUAUUUUUAAACUAUAUUCACUAACAACCAACAAAGAUAAUUACAACUUUUUUUAAUCGUCCAGCUUUAGCAGUUUUGGAGAUAUUUAAGCGUUCUGUAAUUUUUAACUAAUCCUGUAUAAAUGUCAAUGUCAAUUAAAGACCACGGAGAUUAUUCAAGAAUUAAUUUAAAUAACUGCGGAAAAAACUAAGGUCAAUUUCAAAUAACCCCCAGGAAAAAUAUGGAUUCCAAGAACUGUUUAACUGAUAAAAUUACACCAUUUUGCAAAAAUCGAGUGUAAAUAGAUUUUGCUUUCUUUAGCAAAAGGGUUUUCCUGUUUCCUGCAUCAAACUUUCCCUAAUCAGGAAUAGCAAAUGCACAAAUAAAAUUCAUGCCUGCCUUUGCAGUUAUGCCUAGAAAGCCGUUAAUUGAUGUCUAC
Molecule: long non-coding RNA, 5226 nt
Organism: Cylas formicarius (sweet potato weevil)
Lineage: Eukaryota; Metazoa; Arthropoda; Insecta; Coleoptera; Brentidae
Exons: 2
Source: RefSeq, a predicted model, not a curated record